Vigna unguiculata (cowpea) is the source of this 2549-nucleotide long non-coding RNA. NCBI's taxonomy places the organism in Eukaryota, Viridiplantae, Streptophyta, Magnoliopsida, Fabales, Fabaceae. The record is from RefSeq and is a predicted model, not a curated record.
AAGGAGAGCGCAUCCUCCGCACAUUCUAGAGAAAUCUACUCACACAAAACCCUAGUUAGCAAAUCCCCUUCCCCUUUAUAAACACUCUCUACGCCCCUCCUCUCUUCAUCCAGAUCCAGAGGCUAGGGUUUCCUAUACACUUUGUUCAUCCAUGCUUGUUAUUGUGGUCAGUAGCAAGAUUUGUACUCUCUGAUCGACCUAUGAUUAUAUUACAAAUAAUAGACAAGCAUAUGUCUGAACUACUCCGUGUGGAUCAAACUAAUCUUAUCUAUGAGGUCAACUAUGAAUGUUUUUUUUUUUUUCUGCGAGUGAUUAUGUUUUUGUUAAACUUAGUCUAGCUGGUGAUAUUUUAGUAAGAUAUUAUUUUAUGAAUCUUUUAAGUUCCCUGUUUUGCAUUGUCAAUGGUGAAUGAGUCGGUGAAUAGUAAUGAAUGAUCUUUCAUUCAUGAUUAUGCAAUCACUACUGCCUUCCCUUCUUUGUCCAUUUCUUUUUCUCUAUUGUGUUUUUGAUUGAUUAUUGCGUCUGUCUUUGUUUUAAUUUUUUAAUUGUUCUUCAAUGUUUGUUAUUGUAGGCAGUAGAAAGAUUUGUACUCUUCAAUGGGCCUAUGAUUAAAUUACCAAUAAUAGACAAGCAUAUGUCUGAACUACUCCGUGUGGAUCAAACUAAUCUUCUCUAUGAGGCCAACUAUGAACAUUUGUUCUAUCAAUGGUUUAUAUAUUUUUUGAGUGGUUGUGUUUUUGUUAAGUCUAGCUGGUGAUAUUUUAGUUAUAUGUUAGUUUAUUAAGUUUUCUGUUUUGCAUUGCCAAUGAUGAAUGAAUUGGUGAAAUAGUAAUGAAUAAUCUAUCAUGAUUAUGCAAUCACUACUGCCUUCCUUCUGAGGUCUUCAUUUUUCUGUAGUUUAUUAGUUAUUUGCAUGAAUUUUGUAGUUAAUUUUUUUCAUCUGUUGUCUAAACUCUUUUCUUUGGAUUGAGUUUGUCUGUUAUAAUUAUGUUGGAAGGGUCAUAUGAUGAUCAUAAGCAUAGUUCAGAUGAUUAAUCUGUGAUUAUAUUUAGUUUUAGUCUUUCGCUCCUAUCUGAUGACCCUUCUAUUCAUUACUCUUAAAGUCUUAUUUUUUCGGCUUUAGACUAUGUUAUUACUUAGGUUAUUGUUGUUUGACUUUGUGGGACAUUUCGUCUACCCCUUUAGCAGUGCAUACGAGUGCUUUAGGGAUGAACACGUCCCUAACAUUCAAGUCAUCCAUCCCUUUCACUUUGUCAGCUUUUUUCAUUUGUUUUUUGCUGAUCAUUAUAGGAUGGAAUAUUAAUCUGUUAUGAUGAAAAUCAUGUACUGUAAAUUCCAAUUUUAAUCAUUGCAUUCUAUCCUGUUGCAAAUAUAGCUAUGUUAUGAAUUGUCUGUGUUGAUUCCAAACAAGGCUUGUUUCUCUAAACAUUCGCAGUGGCCGCCUAAGAGCUUUCGCCUUCGCCAGGCUUGAGAGCUAAUGCUGCUUUUAUCCUUCCUUGGAUGUCUGAGACCUCACAGCGAUUGCUUAAUUGUAUUUGAUGAUUGUUCUCUGGUAAUAAGUAUUAUAUGUUAUGAUUACAUGAAUGAUUUGUGGUGUGUUGAAAACCUAGUUUUUCUGCAAUUUUCUAUUGAUUCGAUGAUGACAAAUUCUAAGGCUUGUUUCUCUAAACAUUCGCAGUGGCCGCCUAAGAGCUUUCGCCUUCGCCAGGCUUGAGAGCUUGUGCUGCUUUUAUCCUUCCUUGGAUGUCUGAGGAUUUAUGUUUCUUGAUUUUAUGGAUUGUGCUCAAUUAUUUAGUAGUAUUUUUUUAGUAUUUUAUUUAUUGAAAUUGUCAUUUUCAGUGUAUAUUGUUGGUUUGUAGUAUUCUAUAUUGCUUCCGCAACUCGAUGAUGAUAAAUCCAAAGGCUUGUUUCUCUAAACAUUCGCAGUGGCCGCCCAAGAGCUUUCGCCUUCGCCAGGCUUGAGAGCUAAUGCUGCUUUUAUCCUUCCUUGGAUGUCUGAGAGUUUGAUUAUGUCUUGCAAAGUAUUUUUACUCUGUUACAGAAACAACAACAUAUUUAAAUAGUUUAUUAAAAUUAUAAAUAAAAUUUUGUUUGGAACCUAUUUAAGUGUAUUAUGCAGCAUUAAGUUAAUGACAUGAAUGUGUGAUAAUCGACAAUGAUGAUAAAUCCAAAGGCUUGUUUCUCUAAACAUUCGCAGUGGCCGCCAAAGAGUUUUCGCCUUCGCCAGGCUUGAGAACUACUGCAGCUUCUAUCCUUCCUUGGAUGUCUGAGUUCAAAUUGAUACUAACGUAGCUUUUUCUUAUUUUGUGUAUUUUGUGGAAUACUGCUAUACUUAUAUUGUAUGAUGUUUUAAUUUUGUUUUCUCUAGGUGCAAGCCGAUUACAAAUAUAAGACGUUGCUAAUGCCGUAGCUGAUCUGUUUUGUUAGAGUAGCUGAUCUGUUUUGUUAGGCCUCUAGUUUAAACCGUGGCCAUUUACGUGCCUCUUUGUAUCAUUGAUUAAGUUGGAAGAUUUAAAAGUGUAAUAGUUAGAUAACUACAAAAUUUUUUA